This is a long non-coding RNA of Dermacentor silvarum, 328 nucleotides long. RefSeq lists it as uncharacterized. NCBI's taxonomy places the organism in Eukaryota, Metazoa, Arthropoda, Arachnida, Ixodida, Ixodidae. The transcript is spliced from 2 exons. The record is from RefSeq and is a predicted model, not a curated record.
UUUCAGCCUAUAGCCAAAGCUCCCCGUGUUCGACUCAGGGCUUUAAGUGCGUGCCGGUGGGAAGCUGCCCGCGAAUAGCAAUAAGGACUAUCAGCGGAUGUGGACACGGCAAGGAGUGCUGCGCCCCAGUGCAGAGACCUUGUUGCUUGGUACCAGGAGGAAGUUGCCUGCCGAAAUGCAACGGUUCCAAGGUAUACCCCAAUUACGCGUGCUCUUCUACUAAAUUGAAGUGCUGUUCGCCAAACAAGUAGCAAGAUUCACAAUUCAAGCAAGAACCUUUUUACCGUCUGCGAUAUUAUGUGAUCCGAAUAAACGAUAUUUGCAUUGA